This 453-nucleotide ribosomal RNA is filed under the name uncultured bacterium. RNAcentral describes it as "SSU rRNA". It matches the Rfam family "Bacterial small subunit ribosomal RNA", at positions 26 to 518 of the family's 1533-position model. The record is from RNAcentral.
AGAGCGAACGCUGGCGGCAUGCUUAACACAUGCAAGUCGCACGGGCAGGGGUAACUCUGUCAGUGGCGGACGGGUGAGUAACGCGUAGGUAUCUAUCCUUGGGUGGGGGACAACCGCGGGAAACUGCGGCUAAUACCGCAUGACGACUAAGGUCCAAAGGCCGAAAGGUCGCCUGAGGAGGAGCCUGCGUCCGAUUAGCUUGUUGGUGGGGUAACGGCCUACCAAGGCUCCGAUCGGUAGCUGGUCUGAGAGGAUGAUCAGCCACACUGGAACUGAAACACGGUCCAGACUCCUACGGGAGGCAGCAGUGGGGAAUUUGCGCAAUGGGGGAAACCCUGACGCAGCAACGCCGCGUGGAGGAUGAAAUCCCUUGGGAUGUAAACUCCUUUCGAUCGGGAAGAUAAUGACGGUACCGGAAGAAGAAGCCCCGGCUAACUUCGUGCCAGCAGCCGC